AUGAUUUUCUUUUUUCUUCAUUUUUUUUUAACAGGAAUACCACCACAGAGGCCACAGGUCUGCCCCAUCGCACCGAUUCCUGGAACAAACAUGUAUCCCACUGGGCCCAACGGGCAGCCGUACCCUACUCAGGGUUACCCUGGGUCCGUUCCUUACCCACCUGGUGGUUACCCCGGCAACCUGCCGGGAGGGUAUCCUGGUGACGGUGGGCACCCCCCCCACGGAUAUCACCCUCAAGGGCAACCCCCAUGUGGACCCAUGCCACCUGGGCAGCCGGGAAUGAUGCCCGGAGGCCCCGGUUAUCUACCUCAGCAGCCUGGUUGCUGCUCUGGAAAAAAGCAGAAACACUGUAAAAAAAGCUCUGGCCAUCACUGUCACAAGCAACGUCGAGAUUCAAGCAGUUCAGAUUCGGACUGAGGAACGGAUGGACAGUGCAACCUGGAAAGAAACUCUUUGGGAGUGAUCAAAACAUAAGAAAAUCAAAGCUCAAGAAUUGUAAUUAGCCCUGCUUCCCUUUCCCCUACCCCUAGCCUUUAGUCUGCACUGGCCUUUUCUAUUUCUGCAAAAUUAUUUCUUUUUUAUGAAGGAAAGGGCAAUGAUUGUCGUGAUAGUUGAAUUUUAAUAGCAUACACCUGAAAAACAGUACAGAUUAAUUUGAUCAUAGUACAUGGACUAAUUAUUAGUAUACUGCCACAUUGUGCUUGUACCCCAGAACGGCUGGAUGCUCGGGAAAUGAUUAAAACGUUUCAUGUUAUAUCUCGAUGGACUCAUAGCUCGGCGAGAGACUUGCCUGGUUCAUUAAAUUCGUCCCGAGUUUCCUCUUCAGGGAUGCAAAAGGCUAUUCCUAGAUCUGCCGUGGUUCCCGGAUUAUCCCUGUGCCAGCGGCUUCCAUUCUAAGCCUCGGUCUCUUUGUUUGGAACAUGAAGAAAAUGAUUGACCUACUCUUAAAGCUUGUAGAAAAGAAAAUUAAAACUAGGAUGAAGCUCUUGUCCAAACCUUAAAAAUAUCUUCUUUUUUUUCCAGAAGGUGCAGGUCUAAUUGGUCUGUCCCAACAGCAACUAUUUUAAUUCAAGUUUUAGCCCUUGAAAAAGAAGUUCCUAUGCUCCCUUUUCAUUACAGCAUCUCCCAGGGGCCUCUUCUAUCUAGAAUUAACAUAUCCUGGGCAGAAAUGCUGCCUCAAAGGAACUUUUCUUAAGACUUGUGUUCUGAAUUCUCCUCCUUACAAGUGUCACAGAGUCAUUAGAGGUCCCAAUAAGGAAACCCAGAGAAAAAACUCAUAAAGCCACAAAAAUAUCAGUUGACAAUAGCGUAGGCAUCUUCCAUGAAUAUGCUUAAAAUGUGAUAAACCACACUAUAAUCUGGGAAGGGAAAAAAAAGUUUAUUUAUCAAAUAGCACACUUAUUUCAAGGAAAAACAAUACCAAGAUUAUCCAAAAUUACAAUUUGUUACGAUAGCCUCACACCCACGGAGGCGCUUAGAAUUUACAUGGCUCUGAACACAACCAGCGGGAUCUGCAAAACUUGGUACGCCCUAGAUCUUGGAGUGAGGAAGUAUCAGAAGUGUUAAGCAGAUGGAUUCUCAUGAGAAAAGAGUGGUGUUAGCCAAGGGAAGCAAAGAAAAAGCAAACAAUGCAGGGAGUGGGAUACUGAGGGAGAACAGAGCCAGGCUCUGGUGGAGGAUGCAGGAUAUUUCUACAGGGAGAGGCUUCGAGGUGUUUUCCCAGGUUCGUGGGUUAGUAUCCAGAUGGGUCAAUAGCAAGAUUUGGUUGUUUUUUAAAUAUAGGAAUCUACUCCUGACUGGUAGGGAAAGAAUAACUCUGACAGGAGGCUAUGGGAAAAGAGUGAGUUUCCUCAGGGUAUCUGAAACAACAGACAACUAAAUUAUCUUUUUGGGGAGAGGAUGAAGAAGAGAAAAGAAGGAAUUUGCUUUUGGAGCUCCUGGCAAUGCUUAGUCAGCAUUUUGGGGGUUUCGCUCCCUUUUACCUUUGAACCAAGCAUGAGGUUAGCAAAUGCCCACCAACCCCGUUGUUUGGAACCGGGGAAUCCCUAAACUAGGUAGGGGUGGUCACUCUAGGCUCCAUCAGAAAUGAGAAAGGGGAAACAUCUGGGGAGAAAACUGGAUACUGGACAUUUUCACUAAACUGGGAUGCUGAGUUUCUCCUCUCAGCUUGGCAUUCAGCUGAAUGUGUGUGCAUAUCCAUACUCAUUCACACAUCCUCCCACACAUGCACUCACACGGAAAGGAACUGUUGAUUUUUAAGGCAGUAAAGGUUACAUGUAUGGCUCUGAAUCCUUUUCUGUUCUUGUCUUCUAUUAGCACCGUAAAAAAAGGAGUUCAGGACUGGUCGUUAUUGUUCACUGUGGAACAAUUAAAAUCCACAUAUAAUCUGUUCUAGGGGUCUCUAGUAAAAUCCUGCUUCUUAGCCUCAAUCCCAGGCCAAUCCUUGGAGUUUAACCAUUGUACAAGAUCAGAAAAAAAAAAAGCAAUAUCUUUCAGGUGUAUGUGAAUAUCUGUGUUCUGUGGCUAGGGGUUAGGGUUGGGACCUGUGCAU
RNAcentral lists this long non-coding RNA (2551 nucleotides) under Ornithorhynchus anatinus (platypus). RNAcentral's name for it is "lncRNA (ENSOANG00000047248.1)". Lineage: Eukaryota; Metazoa; Chordata; Mammalia; Monotremata; Ornithorhynchidae. The record is from RNAcentral.